This 253-nucleotide ribosomal RNA is filed under the name uncultured bacterium. RNAcentral describes it as "partial 16S ribosomal RNA". It matches the Rfam family "Bacterial small subunit ribosomal RNA", at positions 524 to 776 of the family's 1533-position model. The record is from RNAcentral.
UACAGGGGGUGCAAGCGUUAAUCGGAUUUACUGGGCGUAAAGCGCGCGUAGGCGGCUAAUUAAGUCAAAUGUGAAAUCCCCGAGCUUAACUUGGGAAUUGCAUUCGAUACUGGUUAGCUAGAGUGUGGGAGAGGAUGGUAGAAUUCCAGGUGUAGCGGUGAAAUGCGUAGAGAUCUGGAGGAAUACCGAUGGCGAAGGCAGCCAUCUGGCCUAACACUGACGCUGAGGUGCGAAAGCAUGGGGAGCAAACAGG